UGGGGAAUAUUGGACAAUGGGCGAAAGCCUGAUCCAGCCAUGCCGCGUGUGUGAAGAAGGUCUUCGGAUUGUAAAGCACUUUAAGUUGGGAGGAAGGGCAGUAAGCGAAUACCUUGCUGUUUUGACGUUACCGACAGAAUAAGCACCGGCUAACUCUGUGCCAGCAGCCGCGGUAAUACAGAGGGUGCAAGCGUUGAUCGGAAUUACUGGGCGUAAAGCGCGCGUAGGUGGUUCGUUAAGUUGAAUGUGAAAGCCCCGGGCUCAACCUGGGAACUGCAUCCAAAACUGGCGAGCUAGAGUAGGGCAGAGGGUGGUGGAAUUUCCUGUGUAGCGGUGAAAUGCGUAGAUAUAGGAAGGAACACCAGUGGCGAAGGCGACCACCUGGGCUCAUACUGACACUGAGGUGCGAAAGCGUGGGGAGCAAACAGG
This 429-nucleotide ribosomal RNA is filed under the name Pseudomonadota bacterium. RNAcentral's name for it is "Proteobacteria bacterium partial 16S ribosomal RNA". It matches the Rfam family "Bacterial small subunit ribosomal RNA", at positions 355 to 776 of the family's 1533-position model. The record is from RNAcentral. Lineage: Bacteria; Pseudomonadati; Pseudomonadota.